RNAcentral lists this ribosomal RNA (515 nucleotides) under uncultured bacterium. RNAcentral describes it as "partial 16S ribosomal RNA". It matches the Rfam family "Bacterial small subunit ribosomal RNA", at positions 28 to 523 of the family's 1533-position model. The record is from RNAcentral.
GAUGAACGCUGGCGGCGUGCCCAAUACAUGCAAGUCGAGCGUAUGGAUUAAGAGCUUGCUCUUAUGAAGUUAGCGGCGGACGGGUGAGUAACACGUGGGUAACCUGCCCAUAAGACUGGGAUAACUCCGGGAAACCGGGGCUAAUACCGGAUAACAUUUUGAACCGCAUGGUCCGAAAUUGAAAGGCGGCUUCGGCUGUCACUUAUGGAUGGACCCGCGUCGCAUUAGCUAGUUGGUGAGGUAACGGCUCACCAAGGCAACGAUGCGUAGCCGACCUGAGAGGGUGAUCGGCCACACUGGGACUGAGACACGGCCCAGACUCCUACGGGAGGCAGCAGUAGGGAAUCUUCCGCAAUGGACGAAAGUCUGACGGAGCAACGCCGCGUGAGUGAGGAAGGCUUUCGGGUCGUAAAACUCUGUUGUUAGGGAAGAACAAGUGCUAGUUGAAUAAGCUGGCACCUUGACGGUACCUAACCAGAAAGCCACGGCUAACUACGUGCCAGCCGCCGCAGUAA